This 497-nucleotide ribosomal RNA is filed under the name uncultured bacterium. RNAcentral's name for it is "partial 16S ribosomal RNA". It matches the Rfam family "Bacterial small subunit ribosomal RNA", at positions 30 to 507 of the family's 1533-position model. The record is from RNAcentral.
AUUGAACGCUGGCGGCGUGCCUAAUACAUGCAAGUCGAGCGAAAACAUGAGGAGCUUGCCUCUCUUACGUUCGCGGCGGACGGGUGAGUAAAACGUGGAUAACCUACCUAUAAGGCUGGGAUAAAUUAGGGAAAACGGAGCUAAUAACCGCAAAUCUAUUGAACAGCAUGGUUCAAUAGUGACCGACGGCUUUGCUGUCACUUAUCGAUGGAUCCGCGCCGUAUUAGCUAGUUGGUAGGGUAACGGCUUACCCAGGCAACGAUGCGUAGCCGACCUGAGAGGAUGAUCGGCCACACUGGAACUGAGACACGGUCCAGACUCCUACGGGAGGCAGCAGUAGGGAAUCUUGCGCAAUGGGCGAAAGCCUGACGGAGCAACGCCGCGUGAGUGAUGAAGGUCUUCGGAUCGUAAAGCUCUGUUAUUAGGGAAGAACAAAGGUGUAAGUAACUAUUCACUUCUUGACGUUACCUAAUCAGAAAGCCACGGCUAACUACGUG